Molecule: ribosomal RNA, 251 nt
Filed under: uncultured prokaryote
Description: partial 16S rRNA
Rfam family: Bacterial small subunit ribosomal RNA
Source: RNAcentral
ACGUAGGUGGCAAGCGUUGUCCGGAUUUAUUGGGCGUAAAGCGAGCGCAGGCGGUUUCUUAAGUCUGAUGUGAAAGCCUUCGGCUCAACCGAAGAAGUGCAUUGGAAACUGGGAAACUUGAGUGCAGAAGAGGACAGUGGAACUCCAUGUGGAGGGGUGUAAUUGGUAGAUAUAUGUAGGAACGCCAGGGACGAAUGCGACAGACUGGUCAGUAACUGACGCUUAGGCUCGAGAUCCUGGGUUUCUGACAA